AGAGAGAGAGAGAGAGAGAAGUUGGUGCCACCAUGAGUUCUGACUUCUGAGAACCCAUGCAAGAAGAGGAUGCAUGCGAUGGGAGCGAGUGUAAAAAGAAGAGUAAGAAGAGACACAUAAUAACCAGAGAAGGAGGCUAUGUCUGUGUGUGGGCAUGAAAGAGAGGUUAGUUAAAAAAAGAAUAGGGAUUUGAGGUUGCCUUUUGUGGAUAUUUGAGAAUUGGGUUUUUCUUUUUUUUUUUUUUUUA
RNAcentral lists this unclassified non-coding RNA (247 nucleotides) under Hevea brasiliensis (rubber tree). Lineage: Eukaryota; Viridiplantae; Streptophyta; Magnoliopsida; Malpighiales; Euphorbiaceae. The record is from RNAcentral.